AGUGACAGCGAUCACAUAAACGAGAGAUGUAUAAACGUGAAGAAGUUUAGCUUUUAUAUACAGAACAACUAGAGACAGAGCACUGGGAAGAGGGGCCCAUUGAAGAGUUUUAAAUAGGGAAGCAACAGAAUGAGGUUUGAAUUCACAAAGACCAUUCACUUUUCCUUUAGGAAGCCUUUCAGCGGUAAGAGGCAAGCGUGGAAAUGUAGGUGGCAGAAGGGCUGGACAGAACGCAGAGUGAGUGUGCACUCAUUUCUCCCAGAGCAGGACCUUGAUCUGCAGAAUGACCAUGUUCCUGAGAGGCAAUGGCUGGUCUCUAGGGGCUCUUCCACUCUGAGGCCUACAUUUCGUGAUUGCUGACAGAUUGCAAGAUACAAGAAAAGUCAAAGCUUCAAAACAAAGGAAUUUUGGCCUUUAUAUUGAAUUCCAUUAAGAUGCCAUCAGAGGAAGAUGACGAGUCUAAGACUAUUUGAUACUUUUGGAAAAAAGCCUGUUAUCUUGAAGGUAUUUUUUACCUCUCCCAACCCCAAAUUUUCUGCAGAAUAAUGCACAUAUAAUGAAUGCUCAA
This is a non-coding RNA of Macaca mulatta (Rhesus monkey), 568 nucleotides long. The record is from RefSeq and is a predicted model, not a curated record. NCBI's taxonomy places the organism in Eukaryota, Metazoa, Chordata, Mammalia, Primates, Cercopithecidae.